This 348-nucleotide ribosomal RNA is filed under the name uncultured bacterium. RNAcentral describes it as "partial 16S ribosomal RNA". It matches the Rfam family "Bacterial small subunit ribosomal RNA", at positions 338 to 703 of the family's 1533-position model. The record is from RNAcentral.
CCUACGGGAGGCAGCAGUGGGGAAUAUUGCACAAUGGGGGAAACCCUGAUGCAGCGACGCCGCGUGAGUGAAGAAGUAUCUCGGUACGUAAAGCUCUAUCAGCAGGGAAGAAAAUGACGGUACCUGACUAAGAAGCCCCGGCUAACUACGUGCCAGCAGCCGCGGUAAUACGGAGGGGGCAAGCGUUAUCCGGAUUGACUGGGUGUCAAGGGAGCGUAGACGGCAGCACAAGUCUGGAGUGAAAUCCCGGGGCUUCACCCCGGAACUGCUUUGGAAACUGUGCGGCUGGAGUGCAGGAGGGGUCAGCGGAAUUCCUAUUGUAGCGGUGCCAUGCGUCGAUCUUAGGCG